AAAUAAUAAUAAAAUAAAAUAAAACAAAGCAAAACAAAAACAAAAAGGAAGCUGAUAUCUCCAUCUCCCUCCUUCUCCUUCGUCUGGUUCAAAGGCUCAAGAACCAAGAAUUGCAACACCUCCAUCUCCUCCCUUCUUCUUCGUCCAAUUCACACACACAGACCAAGAUUUUGCAACUCAAAAUCUCAACCUUUGUCAGCAAAUAAUUGAAUUUAGGGGCAUAUUUUUCAAAAGCUAAACUCAUCCACCAUUGGAUUUUCUGUCCAAAUCUUCCCUAUAAAUACUGAUUUCACUCUCAUCAAAUUACUCAAGCAAAACAAUUCAAAAGACUCCGAUUUCGUAGACGAGGAAUACCAAGAGCGCUAAUACGUUCGUGAAUUUAACUUUGGGCACGCUUCACGAGGCGGGUGAUCGAUCGGGGAAACAAAGGGAGAUCAUUUAGAGUUGUCAUCCACUUAGCAUGUGAUUAGCUUCCGCUGGAACUCUGAAACACUUAAUUAAUUAGUGAUGUUAAUGAACGAUUUACUUUGGUUGUAGUGAUUAAUGAAUUUGGGUUUACUUUGUUUUCAA
This is a long non-coding RNA of Beta vulgaris subsp. vulgaris (sugar beet), 570 nucleotides long. RefSeq lists it as uncharacterized. Lineage: Eukaryota; Viridiplantae; Streptophyta; Magnoliopsida; Caryophyllales; Amaranthaceae. The record is from RefSeq and is a predicted model, not a curated record. The transcript has 3 exons.